RNAcentral lists this ribosomal RNA (253 nucleotides) under uncultured bacterium. RNAcentral describes it as "partial 16S ribosomal RNA". It matches the Rfam family "Bacterial small subunit ribosomal RNA", at positions 524 to 776 of the family's 1533-position model. The record is from RNAcentral.
UACGAAGGGGGCUAGCGUUGUUCGGAAUCACUGGGCGUAAAGGGCACGUAGGCGGCCGAUCAAGUCGGGGGUGAAAGCCUGUGGCUCAACCACAGAAUUGCCUUCGAUACUGUUUGGCUUGAGACCGGAAGAGGUAAGUGGAACUGCGAGUGUAGAGGUGAAAUUCGUAGAUAUUCGCAAGAACACCAGUGGCGAAGGCGGCUUACUGGUCCGGUUCUGACGCUGAGGCGCGAAAGCGUGGGGAGCAAACAGG